This 215-nucleotide ribosomal RNA is filed under the name uncultured Glomus. Its description in RNAcentral is "partial small subunit ribosomal RNA". The stretch from base 38 to 215 matches the Rfam family "Eukaryotic small subunit ribosomal RNA", at positions 685 to 864 of the family's 1831-position model. Lineage: Eukaryota; Fungi; Glomeromycota; Glomeromycetes; Glomerales; Glomeraceae. The record is from RNAcentral.
GGAUCAAUUUGUCGGUCGUGCCUCGGUACGUACUGGCAUUAUUGGUUUCUCCCUUCUGACGAACCACGAUGUCAUUAAUUUGGUGUUGUGGGAAAUCAGGACUGUUACUUUGAAAAAAUUAGAGUGUUUAAAGCAGGCUCACGCUUGAAUACAUUAGCAUGGAAUAAUGAAAUAGGACGUUUGAUUCUAUUUUGUUGGUUUCUAGGAUCGACGUA